GCCGGGCACGGCGGUGCACGCCUGUUAUCCCAGCAGCUCGGGAGGCUGAGGCAGGAGGAUCAAGAGUUGAAAGCCAGUCUCAGCAACGGCAAGGUGCUAGGCAACUCAAUGAGACCUGCCUCUA
Molecule: small RNA, 124 nt
Filed under: Marmota monax (woodchuck)
Lineage: Eukaryota; Metazoa; Chordata; Mammalia; Rodentia; Sciuridae
Source: RNAcentral